Microcebus murinus (gray mouse lemur) is the source of this 95-nucleotide unclassified non-coding RNA. It matches the Rfam family "Y RNA". From Rfam's summary of the family: Y RNAs are components of the Ro ribonucleoprotein particle (Ro RNP), in association with Ro60 and La proteins. The Y RNAs and Ro60 and La proteins are well conserved, but the function of the Ro RNP is not known. Lineage: Eukaryota; Metazoa; Chordata; Mammalia; Primates; Cheirogaleidae. The record is from Ensembl.
CCUUGGUCUGAUGGUAGUGGGUUAUCAGAACUUAUUAACAUUAUUGUCACUAAAGUUGGUAUACAGUCCCCCACUGCUCAAUUUGACUGGCUUAA